UACGAAGGGGGCUAGCGUUGCUCGGAAUCACUGGGCGUAAAGGGUGCGUAGGCGGGUCUUUAAGUCAGGGGUGAAAUCCUGGAGCUCAACUCCAGAACUGCCUUUGAUACUGAAGAUCUUGAGUUCGGGAGAGGUGAGUGGAACUGCGAGUGUAGAGGUGAAAUUCGUAGAUAUUCGCAAGAACACCAGUGGCGAAGGCGGCUCACUGGCCCGAUACUGACGCUGAGGCACGAAAGCGUGGGGCGCAAGCAGG
RNAcentral lists this ribosomal RNA (253 nucleotides) under uncultured bacterium. Its description in RNAcentral is "partial 16S ribosomal RNA". It matches the Rfam family "Bacterial small subunit ribosomal RNA", at positions 524 to 776 of the family's 1533-position model. The record is from RNAcentral.